GGGCAGCAGUGGGGAAUAUUGCGCAAUGGGCGAAAGCCUGACGCAGCAACGCCGUGUGAGGGAUGAAGGCUUUCGGGUCGUAAACCUCUGUCGGAAGGGAAGAACGGGCAUUGGUCUAAUAGGCCUUUGUUUUGACGGUACCUUUAGAGGAAGCACCGGCUAACUCCGUGCCAGCAGCCGCGGUAAUACGGAGGGUGCAAGCGUUAUUCGGAAUUACUGGGCGUAAAGCGCACGUAGGCGGCCUUGUAAGUCAGGGGUGAAAUCCCACGGCUCAACCGUGGAACUGCCUUUGAAACUGCAGGGCUUGAAUCCUGGAGAGGGUGGCGGAAUUCCUGGUGUAGGAGUGAAAUCCGUAGAUAUCAGGAGGAACACCGGUGGCGAAGGCGGCCACCUGGACAGGCAUUGACGCUGAGGUGCGAAAGUGUGGGGAGCAAACAGGAUUAGAUACCCUGGUAGUC
RNAcentral lists this ribosomal RNA (458 nucleotides) under uncultured Desulfomicrobium sp. RNAcentral describes it as "bacterial SSU rRNA". It matches the Rfam family "Bacterial small subunit ribosomal RNA", at positions 346 to 795 of the family's 1533-position model. The record is from RNAcentral. Lineage: Bacteria; Pseudomonadati; Thermodesulfobacteriota; Desulfovibrionia; Desulfovibrionales; Desulfomicrobiaceae.